Molecule: long non-coding RNA, 2066 nt
Filed under: Daucus carota (carrot)
Lineage: Eukaryota; Viridiplantae; Streptophyta; Magnoliopsida; Apiales; Apiaceae
Description: long non-coding RNA (DCAR_LNC001955)
Source: RNAcentral
CAUUCGAAACCUUGAUUUUCUUGAAAUGUGGAGACCCUUUUUUGAGCAAUAUCAUUUGAUUAUUGUUCAGGAUGGUGAUCCUUCAAAGACCAUUAAGGUCCCUGAAGGGUUUGAUUAUGAGUUAUAUAAUCGAAAUGAUAUUAAUAGGAUUUUGGGUCCUAAGGCUUCUUGCAUCUCGUUCAAGGACUCAGCUUGUAGGUGUUUUGGGUACAUGGUUUCCAAGAAGAAGUACAUCUAUACCAUUGAUGAUGAUUGCUUUGUAAGUGUUUUGUGUUUUCUUGAUUGCCCUUUUUGUGAUUUGGUUUGAAUCUGGUUGUUGAGUGGGGUUUUUGGAGCUUGAUUUUGGUUGGUGGGGGUGUUUUUAGGUAACGAUUUGAUUGAUUUGUAUAUGUUUUGCAUUUCUUGACUACCAUUUUUGUGAUUUGGUUUGGAUCUGGUUCCUGAUUUGUGUUUCAGUGUUUAAUUUGUGGGGUUUUGAUGGGGUUUAAUUGUUUAUAGGGUUUUAGGCUUAUAACUUGAUUUGUGUUAAAGGGUUGUUUAAAUUUUGCCUCUUGACUUGGUUUGACCGUAAAAGCUUGAAUCUUGAUUUGGUUUUUACUCUUUAGCUACACUGAUUGCAUAAUGUCAAUUAUAUGUUUGGAUCUGGAUUUACAUUCUUGGAUUUAAUACACAUUUGCUAUUGUCCAAGCUAUAAUAUCUAACUGUUAAUUACUGCAUUUGUAGAUCUGCAACUGAUCUCUAUUAUCUCUAAAUAGAUCUGUCUGAUAGUAUUAGUUAAAUGGUGCUGCAUACUGCCAUUGGAAAUGUAUAUUGUUGUGAAGUUAUCAUUUAAAAUAUGUACGUAUGUUAAUUAUCACAUUGAUGCAUUUUGGUUUUUAUUAAUUAUGGUUUUAAAAUUUUUGAAUUUUAUGUGUAGGUUGCCAAAGAUCCUUCCGGCAAAGAAAUUAAUGCACUUGAGCAGCACAUCAAGAACCUGCUGAGCCCAGCAACUCCAUUCUUCUUCAACACCCUGUAUGAUCCUUACAGAGAUGGUGCUGACUUUGUCCGUGGUUACCCAUUCAGUCUUCGGGAGGGUGCCCCUACUGCAGUAUCCCAUGGCCUCUGGCUUAACAUCCCAGAUUAUGACGCACCCACUCAGCUUGUUAAGCCUCGUGAGAGGAACACUAGGUAUAAGACACAUUGUUUUUGGCCUGUCAUUAAUUUACCAACUUGUUUCUGUUGUCAGACUUUGAACUCUAUUCCUUGUUUAUCAGGUAUGUUGAUGCAGUGCUGACCAUCCCUAAGGGAACUCUCUUCCCCAUGUGUGGUAUGAACUUGGGAUUCGACCGUGAACUAAUUGGCCCUGCAAUGUACUUCGGCCUUAUGGGUGAUGGUCAGCCAAUUGGACGUUACGACGACAUGUGGGCUGGUUGGUGCAUCAAGGUAUUAUCGGCUUUCUUUUUAUUCUCAGGCCGCACUUCAAUAAUUUCAAUUGGUGUAGUUGUUGCAUUUUGGUCGGGUUAUAGUUAAGCUUGUUGCAUUUGAUACAAAUGAAUAUAUGAAGCUUAAAUUUCUCCCUUACUAAACAGUUCAAUUCUGUCUCUCAUUUUAAGCUUCCGUCAAUUGUUGAUGUAAAUCAUGUCCAUAGUCGAGUCCUAUUUCUCAUAUUAGUCCAGACAUUGUCACCUUUACUAAUGGCUAUUCGCUUUUGACAUUUGUAGGUGAUCUGUGAUCACAUGGGCUGGGGAGUGAAGACUGGACUGCCAUACAUCUGGCACAGCAAAGCAAGCAACCCAUUUGUGAACUUGAAGAAAGAAUACAAAGGUAUCUACUGGCAAGAAGAGCUGAUCCCCUUUUUCCAGGCUGUUAAGCUUCCUAAAGAGUGCACCACUGUUCAGCAAUGCUACCUUGAGCUCUCGAAAGAGGUGAAGGCAAAGCUUGGAAAGGUGGACGAUUACUUCAUCAAGCUUGCCGAUGCCAUGGUUACAUGGAUCGAAGCUUGGGAUGAGUUGAACCCAUCCGGUGCCUCUGCAGCGACAGCUACAGCUGCCAAGGUCUCCAAUGGCCCCAAGAAAUAGAGAAUUAGC